UAGCCACACCCACCAACACCCUCCCACACGGGCUCUCCGUCUUUCUCUUUCUUUCUCUUUCUUUCUCUCUCUCCCUUUUUCACUCACACACUCAUACAGACGCGAGCAAAGACAGCGUUUAGCCCGACAGCGAACCAAGUCUUCCGCCAGCACCGCGGGCAGGAGCCCAGGACAGGAGCGCCUCUCGCGGCCUCGGGCUCCGCGGUUGGCAGAAAUCUCGGGAGGAGGAGACGCGGAGGAAACAAGGGACGCGAGUGAAAAGAUUACUGUCUCUCUCUCUUUGCCUGAGGAAGAACACUGCGCCUUUAAAUCGCGUUUCUUCACUCUCCUUUGCUCCAUUCCUCCUGGCAUUGUGUCUUUAUAUUCUUUUUCUUUCUUUUCUUUCCUCUCUCGCGUUAAAUGUGAGUGGGAAAAGAGGGUCCGUGGGGGCGGGGGACACAUUCAGGGACAAACGAGGGGAGAGAGAGAAGAGAGAUGGGCAAAUCCAACAGCAAACUCAAGCCUGAGGUGGUGGAGGAACUGACCAGAAAAACCUACUUCACUGAAAAAGAAGUACAGCAGUGGUAUAAGGGCUUCAUUAAGGAUUGCCCCAGUGGGCAGCUGGACUCAGCUGGCUUUCAGAAGAUCUACAAACAGUUCUUUCCUUUCGGUGACCCCACCAAGUUUGCUACGUUCGUCUUCAAUGUCUUUGAUGAGAACAAGGAUGGACGCAUUGAGUUCUCAGAAUUCAUACAGGCUUUGUCUGUCACCUCCAGAGGAACACUGGAUGAGAAACUAAGAUGGGCCUUUAAACUGUAUGAUCUUGACAAUGAUGGCUACAUAACUCGAGAUGAGAUGCUAAACAUUGUGGAUGCUAUCUAUCAGAUGGUGGGAAACACAGUGGAGUUACCAGAGGAAGAAAACACACCAGAAAAAAGAGUGGACCGUAUCUUCGCCAUGAUGGAUAAGAACGCAGAUGGGAUGCUGACGCUGCAGGAGUUCCAAGAAGGCUCCAAAGCAGAUCCGUCUAUUGUUCAAGCACUGUCACUCUACGAUGGCCUUGUGUAGUCAUGCCCAAUACGGCAUUCAAAGCUGAGUAUAAAUAUUCAUAAUGAAACUGUGGUAUAGUCACAAGAAUUUCAAGAGUUGGUGUGAACAUGGUACUCCCUCUCAUAAUUGCGCCAUCAUGACAGUCCAUUUUUGCCAUCCUGCUUUCUGUGUGGGAGGGAAGCCGAUGUGUCCCUUGCUUUCCAUGCUUGCUUGGACUAGGCACUGCACUAGUGCAUUAUGGGGAUCAUUUGUGGAAAGGCACCACUCAACUACUCAUUUCGAUAGGGGAAAAAAAAGGGAAAAAAACAGGUCAAGAUGAUAACAUGAAUUCCUCCAUCUUCUGUUUUGAAGUGGGCCAUUUUUUGAACUCUAGCAAAUCCAGUGAAUUGAAUGAAUUUCCUUUGAAGGAGAGCACGGAACACCUACACGAGAGCUGUUACUGAACUGUUUGCCUUCUGUAAAUGCAGUGCACAUGUAUAAAAAUCUGGAUACUACUGAAUACUGGUGGACCUGCCUGGUUGUGAUUUUGUUUAGACAUACAAAAUGAGUCGCAUUCUAUGGAGCAUCUAACAAGCAACAGUGUCGUACGUACGCCAUAAUACAACAGCCUGUCCAUGCAAAUGCACCAAUAACCAUUAAGUGAUAAACUAUUGGAGUAAAGGUUGCGGCCAAGAAAAUUCAACGGUAUUGAAGCCGGUAAAUGAGGAACUGGCAAGCCAGUCUUUCCUAAGGUGUUAAGAAGUGACAUUGUACUAUAUUUACUUUCAAGUAUGCAGAAAAGCAUCCAGUAUUUAUUUAUUUGCCUAUUUAUUUCAUUGUUUUUAGCUGUUUAAGAAAUUUUGUUGCACAGUGAUAAUAACACUGAUUUUUGUGUUGUAAAAUGCGACGGUUCUGUGAUGCUGUUGUGAUCAUAUUGGCCCUUGUGUUUUGCAUUUAUUUAACAUGUGUGGGGCAAAUCGGGUCCCUUCCUGCGGUCUUGUUGUAUUCCUUUUCCAGCUUGAACUAAUGAACCACUUCAGAAGUUUUCUUUGUACGUUGCUUAUACAGCCCGUUGUACAGCAUGAAACCCUGAAGUGUUGUAUGCUUGAAUUGUUCAAGUUUCUGUUAACGUGGCAGUUAGGUAAUAAUUUGAUUUUCAUUACUUGGUGCUCAUACCUAACAUUACAGUAGUCUUUUUUUUAAUCUGAGAUACCCAGUUUGUCAAAAUAAAACAUUGUUGAAGGAAUUUUCCAGUAACCUAUAAAAACUUCAUCUCAACUCACAGUGGGAGAAUGACUUGGAUUUCUGCUUUUGCUGUGUGAGAACUCACUACUGGCAUUUGUAUUGCUAUCACAGUCACUUAGGUAAUAGCAAUAUUGUGCAUAGAAUCACAAUGCAACUUUUGUAGUGGCAUGUGUUUACUGAGGUUCCUCAAUAAAUCAAAACACCACUCAAUA
This is an RNA transcript of Pygocentrus nattereri (red-bellied piranha), 2465 nucleotides long. It is a transcript of the gene named neuronal calcium sensor 1a, with no coding region annotated. The record is from RefSeq and is a predicted model, not a curated record. Lineage: Eukaryota; Metazoa; Chordata; Actinopteri; Characiformes; Serrasalmidae. The annotation marks the transcript as partial. The transcript has 9 exons.